UAAUAACAUGUGUACUGCCCGAAGU
RNAcentral lists this non-coding RNA (25 nucleotides) under Mus musculus (house mouse). The record is from RNAcentral. Lineage: Eukaryota; Metazoa; Chordata; Mammalia; Rodentia; Muridae.